UACGUAGGGCCCAAGCGUUGUCCGGAAUUAUUGGGCGUAAAGAGCUCGUAGGCGGCUUGUCACGUCGGGUGUGAAAGACCGGGGCUUAACCCCGGUUCUGCAUUCGAUACGGGCUAGCUAGAGUGUGGUAGGGGAGAUCGGAAUUCCUGGUGUAGCGGUGAAAUGCGCAGAUAUCAGGAGGAACACCGGUGGCGAAGGCGGAUCUCUGGGCCAUUACUGACGCUGAGGAGCGAAAGCGUGGGGAGCGAACAGG
This 253-nucleotide ribosomal RNA is filed under the name uncultured bacterium. RNAcentral describes it as "partial 16S ribosomal RNA". It matches the Rfam family "Bacterial small subunit ribosomal RNA", at positions 524 to 776 of the family's 1533-position model. The record is from RNAcentral.